RNAcentral lists this non-coding RNA (104 nucleotides) under human gut metagenome. RNAcentral's name for it is "FMN riboswitch (RFN element)". It matches the Rfam family "FMN riboswitch aptamer (RFN element)". Rfam says of the family: The RFN element is a highly conserved domain that is found frequently in the 5'-untranslated regions of prokaryotic mRNAs that encode for flavin mononucleotide (FMN) biosynthesis and transport proteins. This element is a metabolite-dependent riboswitch that directly binds FMN in the absence of proteins. In Bacillus subtilis, the riboswitch most likely controls gene expression by causing premature transcription termination within the 5' untranslated region of the ribDEAHT operon and precluding access to the ribosome-binding site of ypaA mRNA. The record is from RNAcentral.
AUCUUCAGGGCAGGGUGCAAUUCCCGACCGGCGGUAAAGUCCGCGAGCGCAAGCUGAACCGGUGUGAUUCCGGUACCGACAGUACAGUCUGGAUGGAAGAAGAU